CCUUGGCCUCCCAAAGUGCUGGGAUUACAGGUAUGAGCCAUGGCACCUGGCCUUAAAUUUUUUUUUUAAAGGACCUUAUCAUCAGUGCUCAAAGAUAGUCAAAAGAUAGCCAUAGAAAAUGACCAGUGGGGUCUGAUGUUGGUCAUGGAACAUAGGGAGAAAUUUGAGAUUAACAGGAAAUCAAAUUAAUGCUAAUUAGAUUGUUUUUCCCUGAGUAACAAAGACAUAUUAGGAGGAUUUCUGCUCCUAAAUUGCUGUUUACUAUUCCAGAGUCAAAAUACUUGAUCCAAUUCAGUAAAUGGAAUUGUACAAGAGACUAGUGAUGCUUUACCUUUUAUAUCAGAAAAUUUCUCAGAAAUGCACGUAAGUUCAAGUUAUUCUUUUAUUAUAAAAUCACUCUAUAAAGACUGCUUCCUAUGUUUAUGGACAAGGGAGAGGAAAUGAUACAUGCUUAAAAGAUGAGUUAGGAAGCCACUGUGAUUGUUCAGAUGAUAGGCUGGGAGGGAUAGUAAAAGCGAAAUGGAAAAAAUUAUUAGAGACUAUACAGUGGUCAGUGUUAGUUUCAUAUGGAUCAAGUUGGGAGACUUUUAAUAAAGCACAGGAUUAUUUACAUAACCAAUGCAAUUCUCUGGGAUAAAGGGCUCAAUAAGUUAGAGUCUUUGGGAAAGCAAUCUUAGAGCAGAGUUUAACAGCAGUACCAAGGAGUCACACUACCUGAUGUGAAGGGCUGGUUCUAUACCUUAGUAUGGGAAGAUUAUUUAACUUCUCUCUGCUUAGUUUUCUCAUCUUUAAAAUAGUGCAAUGAAGAAUAAACCAUUUAAUAGAAUUGAUUAUGUGUGGAUUAAAUGAAACAAUACAAAUAAGACAUUUAGAACACUUAAAAUGUGUUAUCAUUAUUAUGUUAUUAUGGUUAUUAUUUGGAGUCACAUACACAUGGUUUUAAAUCACUCCUCCACUGUUUACUUGCUGUAUCGCUGUGGGAAAAUUAAACUCUCUAAGUACCCUUCUCUUUAUUGAGGGAAUUGAAUUCAUAUGAUGGCUUUAGGGGUUUGUUCAGAUCCAUGGAGGUAAUCUUCUAACACAUAGAAUAUGCUCAAUAAAUGACAGCACAAAUUCACAUUUUCUAAAGAGAAAAACACUUGGUUUAAAUAACUUGACUGAUUUUAGGGAGAGAAUAAAACAUAUGUAGAAGUGAAAUGUAUCUACUGUAUGUCAUUUAUUCAAAAUUAAUUUUAAAUUUCCUUCCACUGACAAAUAUAUUUAAAAUGUACUGACUAAUUAAAUUUAGUUUAGUAUUUUGUAUGGAUAGACAAAUAGGUAAAAAAAAAGCAAACAAACAAACAAAAAACCAGACAAAUGCAUAUAGAAAGAGUUGUCUCUCCAGACCCAAUAUUGGUAAAUUUUAAAAUCUUGAAGAUGGAUCAUUUUGAUGAUAACACAGGUGUGCAGAAUAUACUAGAUUGUUAUGGAUAAAUGUUUGGCUUAUAAAAAUGGUACUGAAUAUUCAUGCAAAAGCUCCCAUAUGAUGUUAAUUUAAACAAAUCAAAAUUAAAUUCAUUUCAACAAAUGGAGGGCCAUCUAAGUGCAAAGAAAUUUUCCCGCUCGGUGUGUUUCUAUCUAUAUUUUAUUAAUUUGUCUAAAUCUUUUUAAAACACUUUUAAGCAGAAGCCUCCCUUAGAGUAAUAUGAUACUUCACUUUAAAUCUGAAGUUACAUUUCCUUUUAUUUGCUACAACUGUACAUUUUUCUGGCUUCAACAAUUAUUAAUUCUAGUAAAUUAUGAUUUGAUGAUUCUUAGUUCUGUUUUUAUACCAUCCAAACUUUUUAAAGUUAAGUUUUUCUGAACUUUUUUUUUCCAAUGUUUAUUUUCCUGACAUAAAUAGGAUCCAUGUUAAUAGUCUUAUUAUGUGCUAGCAAACCUGUGCCCAGUCUAGAGUGCAAUACUCCCAGUCUGUUGAGUAAUUUUAUGUCGUCUGUUGAUGCCAUUUUUACAAGUGCUAUAGAGGAAUAAAGAAGAAGUGAUGAUGUGUAACCUCUCAUGAAAGAACUGAAAUUCUGGCCAGGGAAUUUGUAAUCAAAUGACAAUUUUUGUUUCACAGUUUUUUGUUUUUACAAUUUUGGUAAACCUUAGAUACCAUGAGUAUUUACUAUGAAUGAACAAGUCACAAGCUUCAAUUAAUACAAAAGUCUCAGAAAUGUCCAUUCUUGGUUGAAUAGGUAACCUAGAUUAUUUUUGUGAGAAAUGUGGAUACCCAUGAAUGAUUGCAUGUAUCUUCCAGUAAAACUGUUUCUAGUUCGUACUGAUAAAAUGAAAUAUAACGGUGCUUGGUAUUUCUCAAAAGGCCUCAUAUUUCCUCAUAAAUUACCUGGGUCUAACAUACUUGACAUCUGCUGUUGCAGUGGUGUACAAUAUAUACCUACAUAUAAAUUGGCCUGGUACAAUUCACAAAAGCACUAAUAAGAAUUAUUUAUAGACGCGAAUGGUGAUGUGAUGUCAAAAGGUUUCUGUAGUGGUGUGUGUGGGAUCAAUUCUAAAGGAGAAGGAGCAUGAUUUGGUAGAAAAGGAACUCAGGUUUCAUAGGAAUGAACAAGAGUUAUCUAAGAAAGAUGAUCGAAUUGGGCCAGAGUCAGGAACUUGCCCAUUUAAUGAAACAAUGUACAGUGAGGCAGGAGAAAAAAAAAAAAAAAGAUUGGGAGGUCUCAAGAGAAAUGGAAAGGGUAUCAAUAAGAAAUUCCUAAUCCUGGCAGCUGACUAAAAGUGGAACAAGCUUCCUAGCAAAGCUGUGAUAUCCACUGAGAGAAGAGAGAUAAUCAAGUCAAGAGUGUCUCCUUAUAGGAUGUUGUUUAAGGAAUUAAUACAUUGGAUAGAAGACAAACUAGAUGCUUUCUAGGAUAUGUUCCACCUCUCAAAUGCUGUGAUUCACCUAUUUGUAUUGCUAAUUAGCAGAUGAAUAUAGUUUGUAAAUGAUAUGACAAUACAAUUGAUUGCUCUGUGAUUAUUAACUACCCCCUCUGCUAAUAACAAUGAGGUUUUUGGAAGAUUUUUAAAGUGAAGCAAUACAUUUCUUUAUGGGAAGAUUAUGUCAUAUUUUCUAACUUGAUUUUGUAAAGCCCAUUUAAAAAAUCUCCUCUGUUGUUAGAAAUGACAAAUAACAAAAGUACAAUUUUAGACUGAGAUUUUAAUAUAUAUACUUUUGGGGGGAUAAGAAGCAUUAAAAUAAAUGAAGUCGAAUAAUUAAAAGCUGUAUGUUUAGCUGACAAUUUUUGGAAUGGCACAUAUUUUGUCAUACACUGUGGUAUUCAAAAAAGCCCAGAUUUGUCCCAAGUAAAUAAAGAAAUGUCUCUUAAAUGUUUUCAUCUCUAAAAGUCUGGUUUAGUGGUUUUAAUAUUUUCUUAUGUUGAUUUAUCAGGAUAUGUAUCUUGUGCAAAGUGUGGCGAGAACAGUAUGUUUACAUCAGUGAAGUAUGUGGUAACUGAAAGGGCCUAAAAAUGGUGAUUUAUGUUGGCUCAGGGCAAAUGUUUUCUGAAAGGACAUUGGCUUUGUGAGAAUUUUUAUAUAAAUAAAUCAAACAAAAUUCUGCUUUUCAUUUCUAAUGCUAUUUGAUUAUUUUUUAUAAUCAAACUGGGUUUUUUUUUGCACGAGAAGUAGUGUAAUGAUUAGUACAUCCCACCUCAUGCUUAUUUUAAAGAUGAAAUUUCAGGUUUUUAAUCCGAAGAGCCCAUUGUAUACUUAUCCUAUAAAAUGAGUGGGCUCUGUGCAUUAAAAUUUUUACCAAAUGGAUAUGGUUUUAUGAAAUGGCAAAAUGACUGCCUAAAUGAUGGCUCAUAAUCCCUAAUGGACUUCUAAAAAUUUGUGAAAUAUCAGAAAUAUUGGGAAUGCAUGGCUUUGGAGAAGGAUAAUGCACAGUAGUGAUCAAUAUCAUUUAUUAUCAGCAGAAUGGCAGAACCCAAUAAAUAAUUCACUUUCUUAAGGACCUACUGAUACCUAGUGAAUCCCUGUGUCAUCAUCAGCAUUAUUUAAAAGAUGGCACAGAAGGUAACAUCUGGGAGCCAAUUCAUCAUUUAAUUAAAUUAUCCUGUAAUGAAAUCUUCUGUAAUGAGAUUAAUUUUAAUUAUUAAUCAGGAGUUGACAUGGGCACAAGGCAUCAUGAAUAAUAAAUGAAAGGCUUUGUCUGUUCCAUUUCUAAGAAAGGACCUACUUUACUGCAAUGGUGCCUUUUAUACAGCCAUGCUGAAUCCUCACAAUGUGGCCAUCCAAGAAGAUGUCUUGAUUUUUAUUUCAGAACCUAAGAGAGGAUAAUUGACAGAUACAUUCAGAUUUUGAUUCCAAAUCUGUGUAUUUUUCCUGGACUCACCAAUUUUUUGUUGAAGCAAUUUUUGGUUUUAAAAAUAUUUUGAGGACGUCAAGGAUAGAAAAUCCUUUUCCAGAGUAAUCUGGGGGUAAAUUCCUAAUUCAGGGACAAAAAUGUCACCUUUUAAGGGACAAAAAUAGGUAAUGCAGUCACAUUGUGGUAUCAACCACAGAUAUGUUAUUGUGCUCUUGUGUGGAUGGUUUGUCAGCUCCUGACCACCCCAGAUCUGCCACAGAGGGGUCACUGCCUCUGACCAGGCUUAUAUGGGGUACGAAGGAGAUGGCAAAUCAGUGGACUUACUCAAUUCAGUGUGAACUCAGCAGUGCCCAGGGAGUACUGGCUCUCCAUGUGGUCACCAAGCAGAGCCUUCCUCGAGACUCUGGCCAUGUUGCUCAGUUCUGUGGCUUCUCCUUUCCCUUAGUUGCCUGAAUGGAAGAUGGCCAUAAAGAGGAGGCAUGAGUCCUGUUCUUUGAAGCCAUGGAAAUCAGGGUUAGGGCCACAGUAACAGGAAAGCAGACAGAAGGUCUUUAAGAACAAAGCAAAACAUAACCUGUCUCACCUCCCUUAAUUAAAGCUCUUCAUUGUAUUUCUAAUUUUAUUUGGACUAAACUCUAAAAUCUUUAAAAAAGCUUCUCCUACUCCAGCUUAUUUCAGUUGACCUAUGCUGUGCCUCCUCUCACUUUCUCUCACCCCUUUGCCUUCUCCUCGGCCUACAUAUUCACUGUGCUACACUCUUCAUGAUGUUAUUUUCAGAAUUGGAAAUGCCAAGACUUCUUCUGCUUUGAGGCUUUCUUAUGUGCAGUUGUUUAGUCAGUUCAGUUUCUGUUGCCUUCUCUUGGAUCUUUUUCAGAUGCAUUCCUAGUCAUCCUUCAGGACCUAGCUUAAAUGUCACUUCCACUGAGAAGCCUUCCCAGAUUCCCAGUCUAAUUUCUUUCGGAUUGCUAUAUUUUCUCAUGGCAUCCAUUGAUUCAUUCAAGAUUGUGGUAAAUUAUAUUAGACCUACUAUGUGCCAGGGCUUUUGCUUUCCUUUCUUUAACUUAUCAAAAUGUAUAAUUAUAUAGUCAUCCUCUAUGAUUAUUGAUUUAUCUCUCCCACUAGACUGUAAGCCUUGAGAAGGCAAGGAUCAUGCUGAAACCUUGGCAUCAUGCCUGGUACAUAGUAUUCCCUCAAUGAAUACUUGAUAAAUGAAUGAAAACAACAGAGAGGGGAACUUAACAAUUUAAUCUGUCAGACACUUGAAGGAGUCUCCUUAAGAGGCAAUGCAUUUUCCAUCCAUGGAAAUGUUUAAAAA
Long non-coding RNA from Sapajus apella (tufted capuchin), 5642 nucleotides. RefSeq lists it as uncharacterized. The transcript is spliced from 2 exons. Lineage: Eukaryota; Metazoa; Chordata; Mammalia; Primates; Cebidae. The record is from RefSeq and is a predicted model, not a curated record.